RNAcentral lists this ribosomal RNA (491 nucleotides) under uncultured bacterium. RNAcentral describes it as "bacterial SSU rRNA". It matches the Rfam family "Bacterial small subunit ribosomal RNA", at positions 29 to 531 of the family's 1533-position model. The record is from RNAcentral.
AUUGAACGCUGGCGGCAUGCCUUACACAUGCAAGUCGAACGGCAGCACGGGGGCAACCCUGGUGGCGAGUGGCGAACGGGUGAGUAACACGUAGGAAUCUACCCUUAAGACGGGGACAACCCAGGGAAACUUGGGCUAAUACCGGAUGAGAGUGCGAGAGAUUGCAUUUAAAAGGAUGGCGAAAGUUGUCGCUUAGGGAUGAGCCUGCGGUCUAUUAGUUAGUUGGUGAGGUAACGGCUCACCAAGGCGACGAUCAGUAGCCGAUCUGAGAGGAUGACCGGCCACACUGGAACUGAGACACGGUCCAGACUCCUACGGGAGGCAGCAGUGGGGAAUAUUGCACAAUGGGGGAAACCCUGAUGCAGCAACGCCGCGUGGAGGAAGAAGGUCUUCGGAUUGUAAACUCCUGUCUUCUGGGACGAAUAAUGACGGUACCAGAGGAGGAAGCCACGGCUAACUACGUGCCAGCAGCCGCGGUAAGGCUACGUAGA